Molecule: long non-coding RNA, 3880 nt
Organism: Varroa destructor (honeybee mite)
Lineage: Eukaryota; Metazoa; Arthropoda; Arachnida; Mesostigmata; Varroidae
Source: RefSeq, a predicted model, not a curated record
UGACUCAAAAGAUAAUUCAAAAUUUUACGUAUAGUGCUUGCCACCGUACUGUGGCCUUUCUCGUUCCAAGUUUUUACUCUAUGUCCACCGAAGAUUUUCAACAUAAAUACACAAGAUAUAUAACAACGUAUCGAACAAUAUGUAUAUAUGAUCGAAGCGUUUUGUAACCUCCGGUUCAUAGUGUUUUUAGACUUUGUACACCACUGGCUGAGGUUAGGGGAAAUCUGCGCUUCAUCGAACCUAAUUAGUUAACCUCGCCAGUCGAAGAGCCAAAGAGCUCGUUAGGAAUUGUGCUAGAUUUACGAUAGAUUUUGGACGAUACAAUAGUUAAUGGUGUCUGCUUUAUGCAUGGGCGAAAUCGUUAGGACGCAGUUAGGACGAUCAAGGGAAAAAUCAUGAAAAUAGACGAACUGUGGUAUUUAUGCGCAUAGCCUAUUAACUGUUGCUUCGUGUGUGAUAAACGUGUGUCAUUUUGUCUGUUUGAAAAUCAUUUCCGUGCAAAGACUAUCGUGUUUAUUGUUAGUUUGGCGAAACUUUAAACGGAUUUAUAAGACACAUACGCAAAACAUAUGCUUUAUGACCCCAUAGGCCAGGAGCUUAGGAUGCACGAUUCUUCGCGGACUAUUUUGGUUAGAGAGAGAGUUUAUCCACCGAAUAACCGGUGACUUUGUAGAACGAUUCAUAAAAUCGUUAAUCCCUAUACGUAAACAAAAAUGUAUGGCUUCUCCUACGAUUAUCAUUACCACGGCAAAGGGCAUCAUCAAUUUUGUGUUUCCUUUUUUUUAAGACUAACGCUGUUCUCUCCCUAGGGGAAUGCGCUACAUCGAGUCUUGGCCAUAACGAUGCAUCGCUUUGUUCCUAUAUCUCUACGAUGACAAGGACUUUCCGACACAGAAACGUGUGAAUAUCUUGUACUGCUUUCGAAUACACCGUUUGUAUGUUUCGCAAUAGAAUAUUAUGCUGUCGUUCCUCGAACCUUCCAAUCUGCUAAAUUGUAUUCGAAGACAGAGAUGUUUCACGUCCCGAGUGAAGGGCUAUGUGAGCUUCUAGUAAAAUGCUCAUCUGACCGUUCCACUAAAAGCGGUUCUAGGCCAACGCCUCGAAAAGAAUCAACAACAAAAUUACACCUUUCAUAUUUUUAGAUAAGAAAAAGUUUACUUUUAAGGAUAUGUAUGCAGCCGAAACCAUUGUAACCUAAAAAGAGUAACUGUAAAUGGCAACAGAUGGCGAUAAGCUGUUACCUACAGUUGCCAAACGUUGCUUAGUCAAGGUAGCGAACAGGUUAACUGGUUACACGCUAGAAUGAAAGAGCACAACUCAUCAGUGAGCGCAAUGUUACGCCAACUGUGGGUUAAGGCCGUAAUGGCGGUACUGGAGCCCUAACGGAGUAAAUCGACAUGAUGCAGUAGAACCACAGAGCUGACUAAUUAAUCCUAGAGUGAACGGAUGCGGAUUUACCUCUCAGUGAUCAAAGAAUUAUGUACGAUCCGAUCUGAUAUAGCCUUCAGCCGGUAAGUGCCAAAAGUGACUGUAAACCGUCGACUGAAAGAUAGAGAAGAGAUACUAUGCGACGUACAACGUAAACCUGAUAGUCAUGCCAACAAGCAACGCCAGGCUAAGUUCAUUGCUAAAAUGCAAGGAUGCUCGCCAUAAGCUGAUUCCACUUGUGGUACUAGAAUGAACGCGACCGAGCAUGUACGCGGCGAAGAGACCCCGGCGCACAAGAGAACACUGCAGCUUUAGAGCCUGUGGCGCCAAAAUUUGAAAAUCGCCAUAUAUGUGUUAGCAAACCGUCGGCUAAGUUUGUCGAUCUGAUUCACACGGCUGCUAGCAGCGGAUCAUGAAAACAUAGGCAGCCUGGAUUCGAAUCUGGAUGACAAGGAGCUUUGAAGGAGGAAUAAAAUAAAUACAUAAGCAAUAAGAGAGGCGGUGAGGUUAUACCGGGGCCUAUCUUAAGCGAGACAGCUGAAAGUAAACUACGGAAAAGCUUUUUAAAGCGUUAGUACAAUUUGUUUAACUUAUCUUUUUUGUGAAAUCCAAAAUCGAUCUCUAUCUAUAUUAAAAUUUUACACAUAUAACCAUGGACAUAAAAGAUUGCCAACUAAAAAAAUGACCAGUGUAUACUUCAGACGCAACCAACUGCCCAACUAUGCGUUUACGUGUGUUUCAAAUUUAAAGAAAUAUACAUUUCCCCUGCGUAGUUUUGGCAUACGAAACCAAUUUCACUAGCAGGCCUCUAUGAAAACUGGCUAGAAAGUAACUCCCAAGUAAUACUAUGCAUAGAGAAAAGUUAAGGGUUAGAGCCUGGAGAGAUUUACGUCAUUGGUUAGUGUCUAGCGCAGAACAAACGCCAUGAUGAAUGAAAAGUUUGUGGGAAAAAUAUACUUGUGCAUGAAGAGAGCGUCUGUGUUAGGCAACGCUUAGCUUUAUACAUUCGGCAGCACUAUUAGAGGACGCGUUCUCGGUCAUCUCGAUAUCUUCAUAAGUGGCGAUUCGUAUUAGCCGGGGUGCUCAAAACGUAAGUAGCCACUUACUAUACGAUAUUUGCCAGGACACAAGUAACGACGGUUAGACAAACAAACACUUAAGGAUAGCUUUAGAUCUUUCCUCAUCCAGGAAAACUAGGAGGAAGCGCAGACUAUCGCUUUCACAACUUUCAUAGCAGCAUUCUAAAGCGUUAGAAAACGUGGGCUCAGCGGAUAAUGAUUCUCGGCUAAAAAAAAAAACUGGGCAGCGAGCCUAAACAACGCCGGGUCUUUUUAGAAACGUUACCGGUAAUCAUUUUAGAAAAAGUGGGCACAUGUUUUUCAAAUGAUCUUUGUUGCUUGAAGCUUUACCCUAACUGCCCACAUUCUAUCGCAGUCUUUGUCUCUCUAAACGAAUCAAUAGUUCUCGAUUAUUUGCUAUGCCUGUUUAUUCGAAAAACCUAACUUACGUUCGAUAUACUACGAAUAUUUUAGUGGGUUUGUUGGUCUUAUUUCUGCAGUGAUGUGUGACCAUCGGCGCAGUUAUGAUUACUUCGUAUGAACUGCCCGCUCGGCUGAUCGAGAACUUAACAAGGGCCGCAAUUGCACGUUCGUACCCUACCGUUACGAGGGUGAUAAAGAGGAACGUAACAAACGCAAAUGUCAACGCGUCCGAGAACGAAAUGCCAUUAAGCCUGACGGUAGUGAGUUAGCGCCUGGAGGGAGUGUACAGUUUGUUGGCACGACGGGAUCGCCGCCAUUUUGUCAGCCGUUGAAGGAGGUCCGUAGAAGCGGUCCAACAAGGACUGCAAGCUGGCAUCCUGGUUUAGAUAGCUCCAUGGACGCGUGCGAUCUCACCUAUGUAACGUCUCUCAAAUAACCCAAAUAGUUAACAGCAUACGUAUAGAGCUUCACUUUUGGCAGAGCAGAUGAGUAGAUUACUGCUGCUGAUGUCAUAUUAAAGGGGUCGCCAAGUCUCUAGAAGAAAUUAUACCGUUUCACAGAGUGUGCUUCAAAUUCCUAGCGAAUAUCUUGAGCGGUAAUAGAUUUCAGUAGAAAGAAAUAUUUUUUUGGAUGUGACCAUGAGCCCUAUUUCUAAGCACGUCUAUAUUUGUGUCAAGGUUACGUUAAGGACAUCGAUUAAAUAAUAAAUGAUUACGCAAGCUCUGGUCUUUUCUUGUAUGGGGCAAAUUUCAGGCCAAAUGACAACAUAAUGACAACACGUAUAUUAAGACAAUGAUCUAAUCACCAUGAGGGACCUAGAUAUAAUUAUUUAAAAACGUUUACCCAUAACGGGACAUCUAAAGGUAUCACCGUAAAGCUGAUCUUUGUUGUUGUCUAUUUAUGUACAGUUCUUAUUGCCCUAUUGGCUUAUCUAAGCAAUGGACUGUUCAAGCGGCCUUAAAUUUUGCUAC